UAGGACUGGGUUAAGCAUAGAAAGGAGGUAGUGAUGAGCAGUAGUGACUACUUCAAGAGGAAAGUAGCAGUUCAGUCACCUUAUCAGAAUCCCCCUCCAGGAAAACUAACAUUUGGAGGAGUAUUGCACCAGUUCAUACUCAGCAAGGCCCCUUAAGGCACUGGAAGGCUGGAGUGAGGUCUCUCCAGAACCUUCUCUUCUGCAAGCUGAAUGCCCUCAGCUCCCUCAACCUUCUUUCAUAGGAGAAAUACUCCAGCCCUCUGAGCAUUCUUGUGACUUCUUGUGAACGCUCUCCAAUUAGCCUAUGUCCUUCUCAUGUUGGGAGCUGAAUGCACUAGUAUUCGUUCAAGAGUUUUAGGAGAGAACAACUCAGAUUCCUCAGAAGAAGGAAAUAAGGAGGUUCACCAGAUAGAACAGCUGUUGAUGGAUCAGGGAGAUGUAUUCCACUUCAGUGUGCAAUGACCACCUAGCCAAAGAGCAAAGAGCUGUAAGAAGCCAAGAAUUAAAAACUGCUCAUCUGUGACAGGAGAUAAAUGCAAUACCAAAUGAAAAAGAAAUGUCUAAUGAAUAUUGUAUCUACAAGGGACCAAGAUUCACCAUGUCCCCCCAAAGAAGACAUCUGCUUAGAUAUUCUUGUUGGGAUGAUAAUUAGAAAGAUGACUGCUAUGACUGGGAUGAUAAUGUGUGAAAUCCCACAUUUUGCUGCAAAGUGUUCCCUGGAUGACAAGUGAGCUGAAAUGUAACUUGUCACUACAGGAAUCAGAAUGCCCCUGAUCACAAGAAAUGAAAACUCUGAACAGUAGGUAUUUGGGCUCUUUCAUCAUCUGUAAGUGAAGAAAGGUUUAGGUACUCUGAGCAAGGUCUAUGGUCUGUGUGAUUCAUGAUACGUUGCAGCUGAUUACCUGUGAGUGCCCAAUCUGAAUAACCUGAGUUUGUUAAGAGACAUUCUUGCUCGUUCAAAAGACAAAAUCCUUCACAAAUGAGAGCAGUGUGGUUCGUGUGGGACCUUCGAUCAGAACACUGGAUGCUUUCCUAGAAAGCACAGUCAGUGCCAGGGGCUGAGACUGUCCUCCUUUACAUGAAAAGCCCUAACUAUCACUGACAAAAUUUAAGUUUGAAAUGAGAUCUUGUCAGAUGGGACAUGACAAC
Gallus gallus (chicken) is the source of this 1149-nucleotide long non-coding RNA. NCBI's taxonomy places the organism in Eukaryota, Metazoa, Chordata, Aves, Galliformes, Phasianidae. The record is from Ensembl.